UACGUAGGGUCCGAGCGUUGUCCGGAAUUAUUGGGCGUAAAGGGCUCGUAGGCGGUUUGUCGCGUCGGGAGUGAAAACACCGGGCUUAACUCGGUGCUUGCUUUCGAUACGGGCAGACUGGAGGUAUGCAGGGGAGAACGGAAUUCCUGGUGUAGCGGUGAAAUGCGCAGAUAUCAGGAGGAACACCGGUGGCGAAGGCGGUUCUCUGGGAAUGACCUGACGCUGAGGAGCGAAAGUGUGGGGAGCGAACAGG
This 253-nucleotide ribosomal RNA is filed under the name uncultured bacterium. RNAcentral describes it as "partial 16S ribosomal RNA". It matches the Rfam family "Bacterial small subunit ribosomal RNA", at positions 524 to 776 of the family's 1533-position model. The record is from RNAcentral.